AAAUUGAAGAGUUUGAUCAUGGCUCAGAUUGAACGCUGGCGGCAGGCCUAACACAUGCAAGUCGAACGGUAGCACAGAGAGUUUGCUCUCGGGUGACGAGUGGCGGACGGGUGAGUAAUGUCUGGGAAACUGCCUGAUGGAGGGGGAUAACUACUGGAAACGGUGGCUAAUACCGCAUAA
RNAcentral lists this ribosomal RNA (180 nucleotides) under Salmonella enterica. RNAcentral's name for it is "partial 16S ribosomal RNA". It matches the Rfam family "Bacterial small subunit ribosomal RNA", at positions 1 to 176 of the family's 1533-position model. The record is from RNAcentral. Lineage: Bacteria; Pseudomonadati; Pseudomonadota; Gammaproteobacteria; Enterobacterales; Enterobacteriaceae.